CCCAGUUCGGAUUGCAGCCUGCAACUCGGCUGCAUGAAGCUGGAAUCGCUAGUAAUCGCGGAUCAGAAUGCCGCGGUGAAUACGUUCCCGGGUCUUGUACACACCGCCCGUCACACCAUGGGAGUCGGGAAUGCCCGAAGUCAGUGACCCAACCGAAAGGGGGGAGCUGCCGAAGGCAGGCCUGGUAACUGGGGUGAAGUCGUAACAAGGUACC
RNAcentral lists this ribosomal RNA (214 nucleotides) under uncultured bacterium. RNAcentral describes it as "partial 16S ribosomal RNA". It matches the Rfam family "Bacterial small subunit ribosomal RNA", at positions 1287 to 1500 of the family's 1533-position model. The record is from RNAcentral.